UAGUAGCGGCGAGUGAAGCGGCAAAAGCUCAAAUUUGAAAUCUGGCUCUUUCAGAGUCCGAGUUGUAAUUUGAAGAAGGUAUCUUUGGGUCUGGCUCUUGUCUAUGUUUCUUGGAACAGAACGUCACAGAGGGUGAGAAUCCCGUGCGAUGAGAUGAUCCAGGCCUAUGUAAAGUUCCUUCGAAGAGUCGAGUUGUUUGGGAAUGCAGCUCUAAGUGGGUGGUAAAUUCCAUCUAAAGCUAAAUAUUGGCGAGAGACCGAUAGCGAACAAGUACAGUGAUGGAAAGAUGAAAAGAACUUUGAAAAGAGAGUGAAAAAGUACGUGAAAUUGUUGAAAGGGAAGGGCUUGAGAUCAGACUUGGUAUUUUGUAUGUUACUUCUUCGGGGGUGGCCUCUACAGUUUAUCGGGCCAGCAUCAGUUUGGGCGGUAGGAGAAUUGCGUUGGAAUGUGGCACGGCUUCGGUUGUGUGUUAUAGCCUUCGUCGAUACUGCCAGCCUAGACUGAGGACUGCGGUUUAUACCUAGGAUGUUGGCAUAAUGAUCUUAAGUCGCCCGUCUUGAAACACGGACCAAGGAGUCUAACGUCUAUGCGAGUGUUUGGGUGUAAAACCCGUACGCGUAAUGAAAGUGAACGUAGGUGGGGGCCCGUAUGGGUGCACCAUCGACCGAUCCUGAUGUCUUCGGAUGGAUUUGAGUAAGAGCAUAGCUGUUGGGACCCGAAAGAUGGUGAACUAUGCCUGAAUAGGGUGAAGCCAGAGGAAACUCUGGUGGAGGCUCGUAGCGGUUCUGACGUGCAAAUCGAUCGUCGAAUUUGGGUAUAGG
This 821-nucleotide ribosomal RNA is filed under the name Candida tropicalis. RNAcentral describes it as "LSU rRNA". It matches the Rfam family "Eukaryotic large subunit ribosomal RNA", at positions 81 to 921 of the family's 3401-position model. The record is from RNAcentral. Lineage: Eukaryota; Fungi; Ascomycota; Pichiomycetes; Serinales; Debaryomycetaceae.